GAAAGUUACGCUAAUACCGCAUACGAUCUAAGGAUGAAAGCAGGGGAUCUUCGGACCUUGUGCUCCUGGAGCGGCCGAUAUCUGAUUAGCUAGUUGGUGAGGUAAAGGCUCACCAAGGCCACGAUCAGUAGCUGGUCUGAGAGGACGACCAGCCACACUGGAACUGAGACACGGUCCAGACUCCUACGGGAGGCAGCAGUGGGGAAUUUUGGACAAUGGGCGAAAGCCUGAUCCAGCAAUGCCGCGUGAGUGAAGAAGGCCUUCGGGUUGUAAAGCUCUUUUGUCAGGGAAGAAACGGUGAGGGCUAAUAUCCCUCGCUAAUGACGGUACCUGAAGAAUAAGCACCGGCUAACUACGUGCCAGCAGCCGCGGUAAUACGUAGGGUGCAAGCGUUAAUCGGAAUUACUGGGCGUAAAGCGUGCGCAGGCGGUUUUGUAAGUCUGACGUGAAAUCCCCGGGCUCAACCUGGGAAUUGCGUUGGAGACUGCAAGGCUAGAAUCUGGCAGAGGGGGGUAGAAUUCCACGUGUAGCAGUGAAAUGCGUAGAGAUGUGGAGGAACACCGAUGGCGAAGGCAGCCCCCUGGGUCAAGAUUGACGCUCAUGCACGAAAGCGUGGGGAGCAAACAGGAUUAGAUACCCUGGUAGUCCACGCCCUAAACGAUGUCUACUAGUUGUCGGGUUUUAAUUAACUUGGUAACGCAGCUAACGCGUGAAGUAGACCGCCUGGGGAGUACGGUCGCAAGAUUAAAACUCAAAGGAAUUGACGGGGACCCGCACAAGCGGUGGAUGAUGUGGAUUAAUUCGAUGCAACGCGAAAAACCUUACCUACCCUUGACAUG
RNAcentral lists this ribosomal RNA (839 nucleotides) under Massilia aurea. RNAcentral's name for it is "bacterial SSU rRNA". It matches the Rfam family "Bacterial small subunit ribosomal RNA", at positions 153 to 988 of the family's 1533-position model. The record is from RNAcentral. Lineage: Bacteria; Pseudomonadati; Pseudomonadota; Betaproteobacteria; Burkholderiales; Oxalobacteraceae.